AGCAGUCGCCGCGGUAAUACGAAGGGGGCUAGCGUUGUUCGGAUUUACUGGGCGUAAAGGGCGCGUAGGCGGACUGAUAAGUCAGGGGUGAAAUCCCAAGGCUCAACCUUGGAACUGCCUUUGAUACUGUUUGUCUUGAGUUCGAGAGAGGUAAGUGGAACUGCGAGUGUAGAGGUGAAAUUCGUAGAUAUUCGCAAGAACACCAGUGGCGAAGGCGGCUUACUGGCUCGAUACUGACGCUGAGGCGCGAAAGCGUGGGGAGCAAACAGGAUUAGAUACCCCAGUAGUCCCUGUCUCUUAUAC
This 303-nucleotide ribosomal RNA is filed under the name uncultured bacterium. RNAcentral's name for it is "partial 16S ribosomal RNA". It matches the Rfam family "Bacterial small subunit ribosomal RNA", at positions 507 to 807 of the family's 1533-position model. The record is from RNAcentral.